Molecule: ribosomal RNA, 774 nt
Filed under: uncultured Neocallimastigales
Lineage: Eukaryota; Fungi; Neocallimastigomycota; Neocallimastigomycetes; Neocallimastigales
Description: partial large subunit ribosomal RNA
Rfam family: Eukaryotic large subunit ribosomal RNA
Source: RNAcentral
CGCAUCUGUGCAUGCAGCAUAUCAAUAAGCGGAGGAAAAGAAACUAACAAGGAUUCCCUUAGUAACGGCGAGUGAAGCGGGAAGAGCUCAAAUUUGAAAUCUUCAAGGUUUUACCUUGACGAAUUGUAGUUUAAAGAAGUGUUUUCUGUUGAAGUUUUGGUAAAAGUUCUUUGGAAUAGGACAUCAUAGAGGGUGAGAAUCCCGUAUUUGACCAUUAUUUUCAGCUGUGUGAUACACUUUCAAAGAGUCGGAUUGUUUGGGAAUGCAGUCCAAAAUGGGUGGUAAAUUUCAUCUAAAGCUAAAUAUUGGCGAGAGACCGAUAGCGAACAAGUACCGUGAGGGAAAGAUGAAAAGAACUUUGAAAAGAGAGUUAAACAGUACGUGAAAUUGUCAAAAGGGAAGCGUUUGACACCAGUGUUGUUUUCUCGAAAAUCAAUUAAAAAGAGUUUGAUUUUGUUGUGUAUUGACCUUAACAGCUUGCAUUUCAAUUUUCUUGCUUUUUUUAAUGCACUUUUCGUUUAACAAGUCAACAUCAGUUUCUUUUGUUGUAAAAAGGUCAUUGGAAGGUGGCUUUCUUCUCGGAGAAAGUGUUUAUAGCCUUUGACUCCUGCAAUCGGAGAGACUGAGGUCUGCAGCGUAGAUCCUUCGGGGUUAGAUACAUUUGUGCUAAGUUAUAGCUUUUUAUAGACAACUUGUUGACUAUGAUUAGUCUUGUAGCUUACUCGCUUAUGCUAUUAUACCUACGCUUAGGAUGUUGACGCGCGUGUGUGCGUG